GACGAACGCUGGCGGCGUGCUUAACACAUGCAAGUCGAACGGAAAGGCCCUGCUUGCAGGGUGCUCGAGUGGCGAACGGGUGAGUAACACGUGGGUGAUCUGCCCCUUACUUUGGGAUAGCCUGGGAAACUGGGUCUAAUACUGGAUAGGACCAUGCUGUAGGUGGUGUGGUGGAAAGAUUAGUUUCGGUAAGGGAUGAGCUCGCGGCCUAUCAGCUUGUUGGUGGGGUAAUGGCCUACCAAGGCGUCGACGGGUAGCCGGCCUGAGAGGGUGGACGGCCACAUUGGGACUGAGAUACGGCCCAGACUCCUACGGGAGGCAGCAGUGGGGAAUAUUGCACAAUGGGCGCAAGCCUGAUGCAGCGACGCCGCGUGGGGGAUGACGGCCUUCGGGUUGUAAACUCCUUUCAGCCAUGACGAAGCCCUUGUGGUGACGGUAGUGGUAGAAGAAGCACCGGCUAACUACGUG
This 468-nucleotide ribosomal RNA is filed under the name uncultured bacterium. RNAcentral's name for it is "partial 16S ribosomal RNA". It matches the Rfam family "Bacterial small subunit ribosomal RNA", at positions 28 to 507 of the family's 1533-position model. The record is from RNAcentral.